GGGCGCUUAGCUCAGUGGUAGAGCAUUACCUUCACACGGUAGGGGUCACUGGUUCGAACCCAGUAGCGCCCACCA
Molecule: transfer RNA, 75 nt
Filed under: Verrucomicrobiota bacterium
Lineage: Bacteria; Pseudomonadati; Verrucomicrobiota
Also listed under: 1 other name
Description: Verrucomicrobia bacterium (hydrothermal vent metagenome) tRNA-Val
Rfam family: tRNA
About the family: Transfer RNA (tRNA) molecules are approximately 80 nucleotides in length. Their secondary structure includes four short double-helical elements and three loops (D, anti-codon, and T loops).
Source: RNAcentral